RNAcentral lists this ribosomal RNA (580 nucleotides) under Trigonopterus trigonopterus. Its description in RNAcentral is "SSU rRNA". It matches the Rfam family "Eukaryotic small subunit ribosomal RNA", at positions 23 to 579 of the family's 1831-position model. Lineage: Eukaryota; Metazoa; Arthropoda; Insecta; Coleoptera; Curculionidae. The record is from RNAcentral.
GUCAUAUGCUUGUCUCAAAGAUUAAGCCAUGCAUGUCUCAGUACAAGCCAAAUUAAGGUGAAACCGCGAAAGGCUCAUUAAAUCAGUUAUGGUUCCUUAGAUCGUACCCACAAUUACUUGGAUAACUGUGGUAAUUCUAGAGCUAAUACAUGCAUGCAGAGCUCCGACCGGAGACGGAAGGAGUGCUUUUAUUAGAUCAAAACCAAUCGGUGGCGGGUUCGCGCUCGUCAUCGUACAACUUGGUGACUCUGAAUAACUUUACGCUGAUCGCACGGUCAUCGCACCGGCGACGCAUCUUUCAAAUGUCUGCCUUAUCAACUGUCGAUGGUAGGUUCUGCGCCUACCAUGGUUGUAACGGGUAACGGGGAAUCAGGGUUCGAUUCCGGAGAGGGAGCCUGAGAAACGGCUACCACAUCCAAGGAAGGCAGCAGGCGCGCAAAUUACCCACUCCCGGCACGGGGAGGUAGUGACGAAAAAUAACGAUACGGGACUCAUCCGAGGCCCCGUAAUCGGAAUGAGUACACUCUAAACCCUUUAACGAGGAUCAAUUGGAGGGCAAGUCUGGUGCCAGCAGCCGCGG